Xenopus tropicalis (tropical clawed frog) is the source of this 815-nucleotide long non-coding RNA. RefSeq lists it as uncharacterized. NCBI's taxonomy places the organism in Eukaryota, Metazoa, Chordata, Amphibia, Anura, Pipidae. The transcript has 3 exons. The record is from RefSeq and is a predicted model, not a curated record.
CCAUAAACGAUCAAUACGAAAAUUUUGGAACUUUCAGAACUAUAGUUGUUCCAAGCACCAUUGUGUCUAUCCUGCUCUUUUGAUGAAUCGUGUGACAUUGGGGAAUCCUGGAGCUACAAAAGUUUUACUACAGCUCCCAUUCUAUGUCAUCCUUAUCCUGCACAACCAUUCAUACUUGAGGUGGAUGUUUUGGAGUUUGCAGUAGGAGCUGUGUCAUCUCAACGAUCGGGACCACAUAGCCUUCUUCAUACCAUCACCUUCUUCUCAAGGAAGUUGUUAAAUUCUAAGCACAAUUAUGAUAGAACUGAAGCUCUCAAGAUCAUUGAAGAUUCCCCUGGUCUUUGCCAGACUUUGGAUUUGGCAUGCAGCUGCUUUUGGGGCCUGUACUUGGUGGUGACUUCUCAUGGGUCUUUUAACAUUGCUGUAGGCCUCCAUGUGGACUCCAUGACCAUUUGUUUCCUUAUCUUCAUGUUGGAAAGACAUCCUGAUCUUGGUACAGCCACUGUUGAACCAUAUUUUCUUCACUUUUUGAUGACUGUGAACCAUAGACGGCGUAAUGAUUUAGUACCCCUUUUUGUACCCCUGGCCCGAUUGAAACCUUUCAGUGAUAAGAUCUUUUUUGUGUUUUAAACGUAAUUUAUGGACCAUGGCUUUUGGAGUAAAAGACCAAGAGAAAUAAUCCUACAGGAACAGCCAAACUUUAUCUGAGCUCAAUCAUGUCAUGUUUAUACUAACUACUAUUUGAUAUGAGACUGAAUAUGAUUGGUUGAUUCAGCCACAUUCUUGAUUAUUAAAGCGUUUGCAUAGUAAUACAA